CCCAAUUCUCUCUCUUUUUAAAGAUUCUACAUACAAAGGAGAUCUUACAGUAUUGAUUUCACUGUGUCUGGCUUUUCCAGUUACCAGAUGAGUGAGUUCUGGGGAUCUAACAUACAUUGUGGUGACUAUGGUUAAUAAUACUAUCUGGCAUACUACUUGAACUUUGGUAAGACAAUAGAUCUUAAAUGUUCUCACCACACAUACAAAUGUUAAUUAUGUGAGAUGAGAGAUGUGCUAAUUAACUUGAUUGUGCUUAUUUCAUAAUGUAUAUGUAUAUUAUAUCAUCAUGUUGUAUACCUUAAAUGCAUACAUUUUUUAACGUGUUUUUCUAAUUUUUUUUUUUUUUUUUUUUUUUUGAGACAGAGCUUCAGUCUGUCACCCAGGCUGCAGUGCAGUGGUGUGAUCACGGUUCGCUGCAGCCUCAACCUUGGACUCAAGUGAUCCUCCCACCUCAGUCUCCCAAGUAGCUUGGGACUACAGGCACGCACCACCACACCUGGUUAAUUUUUUAAUUUUUGUAGAGAUGGGGUCCCACUGUGUUGUCCAAGCUGGUCUUGAAUUCCUGGGCUCAAGCCCCGGGCCUCCCAAAGUUCUGGGAUUACAGGUGUGAGCUACUGCACCCGGACUACAAUUUUUGUCAAUUAUAUCUCAAUAAAGCAAUAACGCAAAAAUAAGCCAAAGCCCAUCUCUUUGGCUUGGUCCUCACUGCUUAUAAUUGAUCAGUUCUCUUGGGGAUUCUGAUUUUCUGUAACUAUAGUGUAUUACUUUACUCUUCAGCUUCCAGAAACUAGCAUGUAUAAGAACAAAUCUAUGAUAAAAAUUAUAUAUAUUGCCAACAGGUACACGGAAACAUAUCAAAGGGUGAAUGAGUUGAUGAUCACUGUAAUGCCAACUCCUGCCACAUCCUUCUCUGUAAAAGUCUACCAUUACUGAUAAAUAUUGAGCAAGUCAGUUUCAGAGGUGAAACUGAAAAAAGGCCCGAAAAAAGAACUCCGGCAUCUGGAAUAUAUAUAUUUGGUCACAUCUACGUGCUAUCUGCCAUAGGAAAAGAGCAGUCCCUUCAAGAGUAAAGUUUUGUUCCCAACGAACUGUGGCACCUACAUAGUCCAUCUGACACAUUUACUGACUCCAGUGAAUUUGGCUGUGGUUGAAGACCUCAGGCAAUUUUUUCUUCCUUGCUGUGAAAUAAUUGUCUAGAGACAGGAGAAUCCUCCAGAUGGCUAGUUAAAUACCUCCAGAAGGCCUGGGGCAUUGAUGAAUCUCUCUAAGGAUUUCUGUAGUUUACAAGUGGCUUUUGGUUGAAGAAUCUCAUUAUUCAGAUCCCUCAGAGUGGGAUCUCCAAGCUGGCGUAACUGUAAAGUAGAGCUGUAAAGGAAACUGUAAAGUAGAUAUGUGGUUGCAUCUCAGCAUUUCUGAGUAAAAACUCUCU
This 1429-nucleotide long non-coding RNA is filed under the name Papio anubis (olive baboon). RNAcentral's name for it is "lncRNA (ENSPANG00000043248.1)". Lineage: Eukaryota; Metazoa; Chordata; Mammalia; Primates; Cercopithecidae. The record is from RNAcentral.